GACGAACGCUGGCGGCGUGCUUAACACAUGCAAGUCGAACGAUGACGACCGAGCUUGCUCGGUCUGAUUAGUGGCGAACGGGUGAGUAACACGUGAGCAACCUGCCCUUCACUCUGGGAUAACCUCGGGAAAUCGGGGCUAAUACCGGAUAUGAGCUCCUGUCGCAUGGCGGGUGUUGGAAAGUUUUUCGGUGAAGGAUGGGCUCGCGGCCUAUCAGUUUGUUGGUGAGGUAGUGGCUCACCAAGGCGAUGACGGGUAGCCGGCCUGAGAGGGCGACCGGCCACACUGGGACUGAGAGACGGCCCAGACUCCUACGGGAGGCAGCAGUGGGGAAUAUUGCACAAUGGGCGAAAGCCUGAUGCAGCGACGCCGCGUGAGGGAUGACGGCCUUCGGGUUGUAAACCUCUUUCAGCAGAGAAGAAGCGAAAGUGACGGUACCUGAAGAAGAAGCGCCGGCUAACUACGUG
RNAcentral lists this ribosomal RNA (467 nucleotides) under uncultured bacterium. RNAcentral describes it as "partial 16S ribosomal RNA". It matches the Rfam family "Bacterial small subunit ribosomal RNA", at positions 28 to 507 of the family's 1533-position model. The record is from RNAcentral.